AGCUACAUUAAUGUAUUUAUAUUGUAAAUAGCAAUCAUAUUGAUUUGGAAGGACUUCUUUGAGGUGACUUUGCUGGACGUUUUGAAGGACUCUUGGUCAGACUUUUUGAAGGGCUUUUGGCU
This is a long non-coding RNA of Gavialis gangeticus (Gharial), 122 nucleotides long. RefSeq lists it as uncharacterized. The record is from RefSeq and is a predicted model, not a curated record. Lineage: Eukaryota; Metazoa; Chordata; Crocodylia; Gavialidae. The transcript is spliced from 4 exons.